AUUGAACGCUGGCGGCAGGCCUAACACAUGCAAGUCGAGCGGAUGAAGGGAGCUUGCUCCUGGAUUCAGCGGCGGACGGGGGAGUAAUGCCUAGGAAUCUGCCUGGUAGUGGGGGGUAACGUCCGGAAACGGGCGCUAAUACCGCAUACGUCCUGAGGGAGAAAGUGGGGGAGCUUCGGACCUCACGCUAUCAGAUGAGCCUAGGUCGGAUUAGCUAGUUGGUGGGGUGAAGGCCUACCAAGCCGGGGAUCCGUAACUGGACUGAGAGGAGGAUCAGUCACCCUGGAACGUGAACGCGGACCAGACGACUACGGGAGGCAGCAGUGGGGAAUGUUAGACAGUGGGCGAGAGCCUGAUCCAGCGGUGCGGCGUGUGUGAAGAAGGUCUUCGGAUUGUAAAGCACGUUAAGUUGGGGGGAAGGGCAGUAGGUUAAUACCUUGCGGUUUUGACGGUACCAGCAGAAUAAGCACCGGCUAACUUCGUG
This 484-nucleotide ribosomal RNA is filed under the name uncultured bacterium. RNAcentral describes it as "partial 16S ribosomal RNA". It matches the Rfam family "Bacterial small subunit ribosomal RNA", at positions 29 to 507 of the family's 1533-position model. The record is from RNAcentral.